GACGAACGCUGGCGGCGUGCUUAACACAUGCAAGUCGAGCGAUGAAGCCCCUUCGGGGGUGGAUUAGCGGCGGACGGGUGAGUAACACGUGGGUAACCUGCCUCAAAGAGGGGGAUAGCCUCCCGAAAGGGAGAUUAAUACCGCAUAAAGCAGAAUUCCACAUGGAGUUUUGAUGAAAGGAGUAAUCCGCUUGGAGAUGGACCCGCGGCGCAUUAGCUAGUUGGUGGGGUAACGGCCGACCAAGGCAACGAUGCGUAGCCGACCUGAGAGGGUGAGCGGCCACAUUGGAACUGAGAGACGGUCCAGACUCCUACGGGAGGCAGCAGUGGGGAAUAUUGCACAAUGGGCGAAAGCCUGAUGCAGCAACGCCGCGUGAGUGAUGAAGGUCUUCGGAUUGUAAAGCUCUGUCUUCUGGGAAGACAAUGACGGUACCAGAGGAGGAAGCCACGGCUAACUACGUGCCAGCCGCCGCGGUAA
RNAcentral lists this ribosomal RNA (477 nucleotides) under uncultured bacterium. RNAcentral's name for it is "partial 16S ribosomal RNA". It matches the Rfam family "Bacterial small subunit ribosomal RNA", at positions 28 to 523 of the family's 1533-position model. The record is from RNAcentral.